UCACACAUAGCUCAGUAGGCAGAGCGUCUGACUUUUAAUCAGAAAGUCGUGGGUUCGAGUCCCACUGUGUGGAA
RNAcentral lists this transfer RNA (74 nucleotides) under Pleurostomum flabellatum. Its description in RNAcentral is "tRNA-Lys". It matches the Rfam family "tRNA". From Rfam's summary of the family: Transfer RNA (tRNA) molecules are approximately 80 nucleotides in length. The record is from RNAcentral. Lineage: Eukaryota; Heterolobosea; Eutetramitea; Acrasida; Tulamoebidae.